Molecule: long non-coding RNA, 674 nt
Organism: Salvelinus namaycush (lake trout)
Lineage: Eukaryota; Metazoa; Chordata; Actinopteri; Salmoniformes; Salmonidae
Exons: 3
Source: RefSeq, a predicted model, not a curated record
UUCUUCAUUACUCAAAAUGACGGCGCCAACGCAGACAAGGCUUUUCACUGUGAAAGAGGUUGUAUCUACGUUGGUUGGUGAUAUAGAUUCGGAAACGUCCUUGCACUUUAAAAAGCGAUGAUGUCGAGGGAACUGGACAAGCAAUUUGCACAGAGAAAUUCAACAAGACCUUCAUACUUCAAGAGGGCAAACCGUCAGAAGAAGAAACAGACGAAUUCGACUAUGACAUCUUCAUCGCCCCAAAGGAUGCCAUCUAUUUCAUCCAUGGCCAGGUGACGAUGGCAGACGGCAAGGGGAAAGUCUACCUGUUUUGGAAACUCAAAAGCAGCCGUAAGAUCAAAACCAACAACGGAACCUGCCCUGAGAUCACCUUCGCUACCGAGGUCAAGUUGUUGAAAGGCGGUCGGGUUUACCUAGUCUUCAACGCGGGCAAACCCAACCUGAAAGAGAGCACUUUCUCAGUCUACGAGCUCGUCGAGCAGUGACCGGAGCUGAUACAUUUCUAAAUGCAACUUAAAAUCGUAACAUUUGCUUAAAAGAAUCGGCAGUAAAUACUGAUACAUUACAUGCAUACGUGUUCACGUGUGUACAAUAAUUAUACAUUGAUUGUACAAAACAUUAGGAACACCUUCCUAAUAUUGAGUUGCACCCCCUUUUGCCUUCAGAACAGCCUC